Triticum aestivum (bread wheat) is the source of this 1600-nucleotide long non-coding RNA. RefSeq lists it as uncharacterized. The record is from RefSeq and is a predicted model, not a curated record. Lineage: Eukaryota; Viridiplantae; Streptophyta; Magnoliopsida; Poales; Poaceae. The transcript is spliced from 4 exons.
AUUCCCUCGCUCCCCUGUCCAUCACUCCCAUCUCCCCCUUUCCUCUUGUGCGACUGGGAGGCCGACAGCGGCGGCGGGGACAGAGCAUACAACGAUUCUGCACCGGCGACCAAUCCCAAAUCACCCAGCCAGAUUUACUAUGUCCUCGACAGCCGGGGAUGAAGGUCAUGCUCGCGGCUCGCCGCCGUAUGUCCAGAAGCAAUGCCACAUCCGCCUACAAUUCCAUCCAGGCUCGCUAAUCUGCAUCCAUGUUUCUUUUCUGAUCUCUUCCCAAUCUGACCUAUUCACAUAAUUUUAUACGGCCAUAUUUUAGAUAGGCUCUUGAUGAGUGCACCAUGUAUCCAUGGUUGCAAAAUGAUUCCUGAGAUUUCCUUGGUAAAAUUUCUGGAAUAUUUUAGUUGUACAUAAAUUGGUUGUGCCAUCAUAACCAUUUGUUUAUUCGCUAGUAUAAAAAUACCAAAGUGAAUUCUCUAUACAUACAUACAAGAAGCACCUCUUUAAUUAGUAAUUUGCUGGUAGAAUCAUCGAUCUGUUAUUAUUUGACAUAAGAAAGCUAUUACAAAUGCUAUAGGCAAUUGCAUGGAAAUUGAUCUGAGAAAUUGUUGUCGAGAUAGGUAAUCAAAUACUUGACAACAGUUGAUCUUUAAGAUUUCCUGAGCUUUACUCUGGGUGCUCAAGUGAAGCAAUUACUUCUCACUGGAGGGUCUGUUUCUUUACUGGACUGGUCAUGUUGUUCCUAUUUUCUCUUUUAUUCAGAUAUACCUUGGAUUUCUAAAUAAGAAAGAGGUAUGCUGAACAAGAUUCAGGUCGUGCUAAGACAUCAACAAUCUAUGCCAACAAGCCUCCACUAUCUAUUGCAGAAAUGAAGAACCGUACGUGUUGAUUGCUUAUCCUGAAUAUGAUUUGGGACGAAUAAGGCCCGACUAGCUUCUAAAUCUGCUGAACUGUACUGAUCAUGGUGUCAUGGUGUGAAACUAAUUUUUCUUCUGCUCUUCUAAAGGCCAUCUCACCUUCGCAAUGAUUCAUAUUUUGCCAGAGGAGAUGACUCAGUUGGAAAUUAUGUUCUGCUUCUUGAUUCUUAUGCUAAUUCUCUGUCUGUUUGUAGGAUUGCUGGUGAUGUUCAGAAUAAUAAGGGAAGUGCCUUAAACCUGAAUAUCAAAUGAAAAGUUGAGCUGCACGUUGGGGUAUCCGUUCAAGUGGUUGAUGGCUAAUGUAUGAUGGAUAAAGAGUAGCGUCUUGGUAUUUAUGGUUGUGAGAAGAAAAGUGAACCUCAAUGCUACCGUACAAUUAAUAGGAUACUAUGUUGCUUCCAGCCCGUGGAUAAGAAUGUUUUAGUCGCUGGGGUCCUAGAGAGAUUGGUGAACAGAUGAAGCUGAUGGGAGAUCUCUGGUCACCUGCAAGUUAAGCUAAUUUAAGAUCAAGUUUGACAGUUACUUAGUUUCAAGUUCAGCAGUACCGCAGUAGUUAGUAUUCAAGUUCAGCAGCAAUUUUGUAAUAGUGAUUUCUGAAAUUUUCAUGCUGCUGGUUAGUUACUGCUAAAUGGCAUUCAAUUGUAUCAGGACGAAUUUUAUUUGUAAUCUCAAGGCUGGAAUUUUUUUUA